Non-coding RNA from Pelobates cultripes (western spadefoot toad), 85 nucleotides. The record is from the annotation of a GenBank genome assembly. NCBI's taxonomy places the organism in Eukaryota, Metazoa, Chordata, Amphibia, Anura, Pelobatidae.
AACAAAAAUAAAAAUCAAAAUGCACUCACAGGUCUUCUGGUUUCCUAUUAACCAGAAGACCUGUGAGUGCAUUUUGAUUUUUAUU